RNAcentral lists this ribosomal RNA (288 nucleotides) under Vibrio cholerae. RNAcentral describes it as "partial 23S ribosomal RNA". It matches the Rfam family "Bacterial large subunit ribosomal RNA", at positions 2643 to 2925 of the family's 2925-position model. Lineage: Bacteria; Pseudomonadati; Pseudomonadota; Gammaproteobacteria; Vibrionales; Vibrionaceae. The record is from RNAcentral.
UGCCGUGGGCGUUGGAAGAUUGAAGGGGGCUGCUCCUAGUACGAGAGGACCGGAGUGGACGAACCUCUGGUGUUCGGGUUGUGUCGCCAGACGCAUUGCCCGGUAGCUAAGUUCGGAAUUGAUAAGCGCUGAAAGCAUCUAAGCGCGAAGCGAGCCCUGAGAUGAGUCUUCCCUGAUACUUUAAGUAUCCUAAAGGGUUGUUCGAGACUAGAACGUUGAUAGGCAGGGUGUGUAAGCGUUGUGAGGCGUUGAGCUAACCUGUACUAAUUGCCCGUGAGGCUUAACCAU